UACUCUUCGAUUCUAGGUCUCGAGUUGAAGCAGAGUCAUGAAAGAAGAUGGCGGAAUGAAGGCUAGACAUUGUCGGAAUUGAAAUAAAAUUGUGAGAUCUUGGUUUUAAAAUAAAUAUCAUAUUUUUAUUCGAAUGUUUUCGAUUUUCAACAAUCAUUUUAUGUGUUUAAUUUUUAAGUUUCGAGGACAAAACUUUUUCUAAGGGGGUAAGGAUGCAACACCCCGCAUUUUCAAAACGUAUUUUAUUUGCUUAAAAACGUCCUAAUAUUAAAAUAAAAUAAAAUAUAGAUUACUAGUAGUAUUAUUUUUGCGACUUACGAAUUUAAUAUUGUGAUGUUUAUUGGAAAAUCAUUUUCGAAAUUUAAUUGUCUAAUGUACGACUAAUCUAAGCCCGUAUUUAACAUCAUUAACAACCGAAAUUCUGAAAUUUACCUAGUAUUGUAAAAUUAUAGAAAUACCCAUGCUCACUCAAAAGCCAAAAUCCAUACUCCUCUUUUGCUUCUCUUUCACGUGUUAAUCAAGUGAAUGAGUAGAAAUUUUUUCUUACUAUUUUGACUCCCUUUUCUCCUUAUUUCUGUCCAAAUUCAUUUUCUUGGUCUACAAGGUCAUCCCCUACUUCCUCCUUACUCCUCUAGACUUUUACGUGUAAGUGUAAAACCUUAAAGGACAAUAUUUCUUGACAAAUGUCAUAAGCAACUCACCCAUUUGAGCUUACUCAUCAAUUGUAGACUACCCGGUUUCUUCUCCCCCUCAUGUAAUUUCCAUGGUAUUGAUUUAGUGGUUUUGCCAAAACCAUUAAAGUUUAGCUCAUCCCUUACGUUUCUCGUCACCUAUAAUCCCCUAUAAAUACCCAAGUAUGCUGCCAUCAUUCUCCAUAUCAAGCAAGAACACACAUGUAAUUAGCUAUGAAAAUCCUCCAAAAUACCCUCUGUAUCUAUGCACCACCACCAUCGUAGCUGCCUCUACCUUCAUACUGAAGGAAAUAAUGCCCUUGGUCCAAGUAUGCAUAUAAUAUUAAGUCUAAUAAAUGCGGUUCAGUAUUAAUCAACAAGUUAAUAAUUCAGUGAGAUCAAGUGAGCUGAAUGCCUAGCUAGAGGCCGCUUCAGUUCAAGUGGAAUUAAUGAUAUUAAUCCACAGCUUACUCUUGACUAAACCCGUAGGGUCACACAAAUAGUACGUAAACGGAUCAAGUAUUUAAUGGCAUUAAAUACUCCAUCUAUGGAUAUUCGGAAUCGACGGAUCUUGGUUUCAGUGGGAGCUGAGAUCGUCACAAGCAAAAAAUGAAUACUCCGGAAACGAUGAUAUUGCCGGAAACGGAAAAAUGGAUCGUAUCGGAAAUAUAAAUAUUAUCCAAGUCGUAGAUGUUGCCGGAAACAGAAACAUGGUACGUAUCGGAAAAUAUUAAUGGAAAUGGAAAUAUUGCCGAAAUCGGAAAUAUUGCCGGAAACGGAAAUAUUGUCUGAAUCGUAAAUAUUAUCGGAAUCGGAAAAUAAUUCCGGAAACGGAAAUAUUAAAUAUUUGUUCGAAACGGAAAUUAAUUCCGGAAUCGGAAAUAUUAAAUAUUGUUCGUAUCGGAAAUGAAUUCCGGAAUCGGGAAAUUAAUCGGAAGCGUAUCGUACGAAUUAGCAUCGGACGAGGCCUGCCAGACGAAGGCCCAGCACGAAGCCGGGCCAUCGCCCAGCAAGCCAUCGCGCCACAACGCACCAGCCAAGGCUGCGCCAGGCCCACCGCAAGGCAGGCCCAGCGCGCGCCAAGGCUGCGGCAGCGUGUGGGCCUCGUGGCAAUGGGCUGCGAGUGCUCGCGGGCUGCGCGCGCGCGCAUGGCGCCCCUCGUGGGCUGCUGUGCGUACGUGUGUGUGUAUGUGUUCAUAUACGAAUCCUAAAGCUAUCAGGAUUCGAUAUAUGAUUGAAUUCCUAAUCCUAAAAGGAUAAAUUAAUUAAAUAAGAGAGUUCUACUAGGAUUCUAGUUUAAUUAAUUCGUAUCCUAGUAGGAUUCCAGUUCCUUUUCCAUACCUCUAUAAAUAGGUGCCUAGGGUCAUAAUUUAUAGAUACAAUUGAAGUAUUCUAAAGGUAAGAUUUUGAAGAAAAAUCAGCCAUACACUUGCACCUAAAUAGCUGAAAUUCCUAAACAACCUUAAGGGCGAUUCUAGUUGGUCAAGCUUAAGGCGGAUCCGGACGUGCUGUGGACUAUCUACGGAGGGACGACACUUGUAGUCCUAAAGACUUGUUCUUGUUCGGUUCGGGCGCAGCUAGGGAGGGCACGCAACAAAGUGUAUGCAUCUAAACUAUGCUAAAUGAUUAUGUGUAAAUAAUAUAUGCUUUCCUGGGUUUAUGAUUUUUCCGCAUGAUUUAUGUUUUGUCAUAUGAAUCGUAACCUAACACAUACUGCCACCAAAACACCACUCUAGUAAUUAACCUUCUCUCACCCCCUAACCACCAUGUAUGACUUCUAACCAAAAACAACAAGCUUGUAGUAUUUCGUUACCAAAACCGAAAACCGAAAUUAGUCCCUCUUUCUCCCUCCUCUGCGGUACGAACCACCGAACCACCACCACCUUCUGCCUCCACCGUCACCAACAUCACAAUCUACUCUUUAAGAACUAACGACCCACCCGAACUCAUGAUCAUGAUGUACCCCUCCUCUAUCCUCGCUGCUGUCACGGUGCAGAACCACCACCUCACCGGAGGCACCUUGAUACCUCCGUGAAACUCCGACCACCCAACCUCGGCGAGUACCACCUACUGCCACCCAUGUGCCGCUGCCACCUCACGCAAAUGCCACUUCACUGUUCUUCUCUUUUUCGUGUAGACAAAAGUUGAGUGUUUAAAUGUGUAAACCAAUUACCAACUAGAGUAAUAUUGUAUAGUACGUGGGUCACCAAAUUCCUAAGAUAAAGUCAACCUUCCUAUUAUCCUCUAAAUUUGGGAUAAUCGAUUUUUGGAGCUCAGGAAGAACGGUCCAUCGAACAGGAAGUAUAAACUACGGUUGAGGUAACAUCUAUUGCUAACACCCACAAUCCCCUUAUGAAAUGUGUUUUAUGAGUUUAUGAAAUAUGUUUAUAAUGAUGUGUUUUAUUGGAUUGUGGGAUAUGAAAUGUGUUUACAAAGUAUGUUUUAUGAUGAUUAUAUUCAAGCAUGUUUAUGUAUGAUUUUAUAAGAA
Molecule: long non-coding RNA, 3159 nt
Organism: Spinacia oleracea (spinach)
Lineage: Eukaryota; Viridiplantae; Streptophyta; Magnoliopsida; Caryophyllales; Amaranthaceae
Exons: 2
Source: RefSeq, a predicted model, not a curated record